This 216-nucleotide unclassified non-coding RNA is filed under the name Hevea brasiliensis (rubber tree). The record is from RNAcentral. Lineage: Eukaryota; Viridiplantae; Streptophyta; Magnoliopsida; Malpighiales; Euphorbiaceae.
GGUGCUGAUGUACUUCUUGCUUCAUUUUGCAAUCAAUAAACUCUCUUGUUUCACCCUCUCAAUUUUUUAGAUCAAUUUUUUCUACCUUCACAAUGUAGGGGUAAGGUUUGUGCAGACCCCACUUGUGGAAUUACACUGGAUAUAUUGUUAUUAUUGUAAUUUAAUCUGGCUAAAUUCCGUCAUCUCCCAUCAGGAAUGAAAAUAAUCAAUUACUUU